Xenia sp. Carnegie-2017 is the source of this 841-nucleotide long non-coding RNA. RefSeq lists it as uncharacterized. Lineage: Eukaryota; Metazoa; Cnidaria; Anthozoa; Malacalcyonacea; Xeniidae. The transcript has 2 exons. The record is from RefSeq and is a predicted model, not a curated record.
ACUAUGGGCGAGUAAAACAGACUACCUUGAUCAUCGAAUUUAAAAGUUCGUGCUUUACCAAGUCAUUAAUUAUAGAAAAUCUUUCAUUGACGUUUAUGAGAGUGAGGGGUCAAGAAUCAAUCAUAAUCAUGUGAAAAACGACUGUGAGAGCACGCAACAGCAAGCAGGAAAGCUAAAUUAAUGAAGGAGCGAAAUUUUCUUAAACUUCCAAUAAUCCCUGCUCUGACCUAGAGGUUUUGGACGCCAAAAUUGACCGUCUGUUAGGAAAGAGAGAUGGAGAGAUGUUUGAAUGUGGAAAGGGCAAAACAGAUCAGCCGGCUUGGGUAUGAAGAAUUACAUAAUUCAUUGAACGCGGAAAAAUGAUAAAUUCAUGUGAUUACAAAUAAGGGAAUUCAAAAAAUAGUAAAGCUUUGAAUGAGAACUGUUAUUGUUCUUUUCAACAUACCAUUCUAUUUUAAGUUCCAAUUAAUGAGGAAGCUUGAAAAGGUAAGGGAUAGUAUGAUUUACCAAUGAAAUCGUUGGAUUUGAUGAAAUUUUCUUAGGCGUAGUUGGAGUAGGAAGGACACCGUUGAAAAUAGGAAGCACCAUCGCUAUAAUUAUGGGUUUGAAGAUUUUCGUAAAUAAAAGAAAAAAUGUAUACAAUUCGACUCCAAAAAUCUUGUAGAAAUGUAGACGAGAGUACCAGGAACACAUAGAUACCAAAUAUAGAUAAUCCACGAUAGAUUUAAGAGCUAAAAUUUUCGAAUGAAGACGAGCGCUUGAUAAACAAAACAAUCGCCGAUCGCACCAAUUUAUAAACUAUGAUUUCUCGGCGAAAAAUAAACCAAUUUCAGCGAAUAAA